This 201-nucleotide ribosomal RNA is filed under the name uncultured bacterium. Its description in RNAcentral is "partial 16S ribosomal RNA". It matches the Rfam family "Bacterial small subunit ribosomal RNA", at positions 1300 to 1500 of the family's 1533-position model. The record is from RNAcentral.
GUAGUCUGNAACUCGACUACAUGAAGCUGGAAUCGCUAGUAAUCGCGAAUCAGAAUGUCGCGGUGAAUACGUUCCCGGGUCUUGUACACACCGCCCGUCACACCAUGGGAGUCAGCAACGCCCGAAGUCAGUGACCUAACCGAAAGGGAGGAGCUGCCGAAGGCGGGGCCGGUAACUGGGGUGAAGUCGUAACAAGGUAUC